GGGCUAAGUAAUAAACCGAAGCUGCGGCAAUGUCCUUUGGGCAUUGGGUAGGGGAGCGUUCUGUAAGCCGUUGAAGGUGUGUUGUAAAGCAUGCUGGAGGUAUCAGAAGUGCGAAUGCUGACAUGAGUAACGAUAAAGGGGGUGAAAACCCCCCUCGCCGGAAGACCAAGGGUUCCUGUCCAACGUUAAUCGGGGCAGGGUAAGUCGACCCCUAAGGCGAGGCCGAAAGGCGUAGUCGAUGGGAARCGGGUUAAUAUUCCCGUACUUCUUACAAUUGCGAUGGGGGGACGGAGAAGGCUAGGUGGGCCUGGCGACGGUUGUCCAGGUUCAAGUGCGUAGGCUUAAGAGUUAGGUAAAUCCGGCUCUUUUUAAGGCUGAGACACGACGUCGAGCUACUACGGUAGUGAAGUCAUUGAUGCCAUGCUUCCAGGAAAAGCCUCUAAGCUUCAGAUUGUAAGGAAUCGUACCCCAAACCGACACAGGUGGUCGGGUAGAGAAUACCAAGGCGCUUGAGAGAACUCGGGUGAAGGAACUAGGCAAAAUGGUACCGUAACUUCGGGAGAAGGUACGCUCUUGUCGGUGAAGUCCCUUGCGGAUGGAGCUAACGAGAGUCGCA
Molecule: ribosomal RNA, 616 nt
Filed under: Vibrio ouci
Lineage: Bacteria; Pseudomonadati; Pseudomonadota; Gammaproteobacteria; Vibrionales; Vibrionaceae
Description: Vibrio sp. BEI176 partial 23S ribosomal RNA
Rfam family: Bacterial large subunit ribosomal RNA
Source: RNAcentral